GAGUUCNCUUCGGGGACGCUAAGACAGGUGGUGCAUGGCUGUCGUCAGCUCGUGUCGUGAGAUGUUGGGUUAAGUCCCGCAACGAGCGCAACCCUUGUUAUUAGUUGCCAGCAUUAAGUUGGGCACUCUAAUGAGACUGCCGGUGACAAACCGGAGGAAGGUGGGGAUGACGUCAAGUCAUCAUGCCCCUUAUGACCUGGGCUACACACGUGCUACAAUGGGCAGUACAACGAGAAGCGAGCCUGCGAAGGCAAGCGAAUCUCUGAAAGCUGUUCUCAGUUCGGACUGCAGUCUGCAACUCGACUGCACGAAGCUGGAAUCGNUAGUAAUCGCGGAUCAGCACGCCG
This 347-nucleotide ribosomal RNA is filed under the name uncultured bacterium. Its description in RNAcentral is "bacterial SSU rRNA". It matches the Rfam family "Bacterial small subunit ribosomal RNA", at positions 1011 to 1359 of the family's 1533-position model. The record is from RNAcentral.